Transfer RNA from Ovis aries (sheep), 71 nucleotides. It matches the Rfam family "tRNA". From Rfam's summary of the family: Transfer RNA (tRNA) molecules are approximately 80 nucleotides in length. Their secondary structure includes four short double-helical elements and three loops (D, anti-codon, and T loops). The record is from Rfam. NCBI's taxonomy places the organism in Eukaryota, Metazoa, Chordata, Mammalia, Artiodactyla, Bovidae.
UCCCUGGUGGCUCAGAGGUUAAACGUCUGCCUCCAACGCAGGAAACCCGGGUUCGAUCCCUGGGUUGGGAA